GUUGGGUUAAGUCCCGCAACGAGCGCAACCCCUAUUGUUAGUUGCCAUCAUUCAGUUGGGCACUCUAGCGAGACUGCCGGUAAUAACCGGAGGAAGGUGGGGAUGACGUCAAAUCAUCAUGCCCCUUAUGACCUGGGCUACACACGUGCUACAAUGGUUGGUACAACGAGUUGCGAGUCGGUGACGGCGAGCUAAUCUCUUAAAGCCAAUCUCAGUUCGGAUUGUAGGCUGCAACUCGCCUACAUGAAGUCGGAAUCGCUAGUAAUCGCGGAUCAGCACGCCGCGGUGAAUACGGUUCCCGGGCCUU
RNAcentral lists this ribosomal RNA (307 nucleotides) under uncultured Streptococcus sp. RNAcentral describes it as "bacterial SSU rRNA". It matches the Rfam family "Bacterial small subunit ribosomal RNA", at positions 1074 to 1382 of the family's 1533-position model. The record is from RNAcentral. Lineage: Bacteria; Bacillati; Bacillota; Bacilli; Lactobacillales; Streptococcaceae.